AAUAAAAAUAUUGUGCUGAAGCAAAUCAAACAUAGAGAAUCAAAUUAUAACAUACCAAGCAAAUAUAGCAUACUGAAACAAAUAAACCAUUACUGAAGCAGUGAUGAUACAAAUAUCACAGCAUUAGGAAUAUUAGGUAGAUGUGUUAGCGUCGACCCUUAUGACCACGACCCUUUCCUCGUGCUGACUGUUGCUGAAAUGAGUCGUACGCACCUAUUGCUCUCAGAUAAUGCAAGUAAUCUGGGUCGAUGUGUUCUUCCGGUUCCUCAAUGCGUGUCAAUUGGUAGCUUCUGAGCUCGGCUUUGCUUAUCUUGUAUACAUUAGUUACUCCGGAGGUUGAGCUUCCUUGAGUGCUUAUUGAUGUGGCUGGCUGAGCUGUGCUGACCGCUAAUUGUUGUGGCAGUUGUUGUGGCUGGUUGAGCUGUGUUCACUGCUUCUUUGCUUCCAAUAGAGUUGGUAGCUGGAAAAGUUAACCAAAUUUAGAUCUUUAAAAUAAGGAAAAAAACGAUAAUAAGAUGCCAAUAUUUUGGGAUAGGAUUGUGGAGGCUCUGAGAGUUUGUGGUGGCUUGAGAUGGAUUACGACAUAUGAGAGAGACUUGUGGUGGUUUGAGGGAAGAG
Molecule: long non-coding RNA, 618 nt
Filed under: Brassica napus (rape)
Lineage: Eukaryota; Viridiplantae; Streptophyta; Magnoliopsida; Brassicales; Brassicaceae
Description: long non-coding RNA (BNAP_LNC015506)
Source: RNAcentral